This 75-nucleotide antisense RNA is filed under the name Micromonospora haikouensis. RNAcentral's name for it is "ASpks TB sRNA". It matches the Rfam family "ASpks TB sRNA". The record is from RNAcentral. Lineage: Bacteria; Bacillati; Actinomycetota; Actinomycetes; Micromonosporales; Micromonosporaceae.
CUUGAUCGACCCGAGCAGCAGCGGCCGGUCGGCGGGCCGGUCCUGCCCGUACGUGGCCAGCAGCGCCUGCGCUUC